This 254-nucleotide ribosomal RNA is filed under the name uncultured bacterium. Its description in RNAcentral is "partial 16S ribosomal RNA". It matches the Rfam family "Bacterial small subunit ribosomal RNA", at positions 524 to 776 of the family's 1533-position model. The record is from RNAcentral.
UACGGGGGGAGCAAGCGUUGUUCGGAUUUACUGGGCGUAAAGGGCGCGUAGGCGGCCACAGCAAGUCGACUGUGAAAUCUCCGGGCUUAACCCGGAAAGGUCAGCCGAUACUGCGGGGCUAGAGUGCAGAAGGGGCAACUGGAAUUCUCGGUGCAGCGGUGAAAUGCGUAGAUAUCGAGAGGAACACCUGCGGCGAAGGCGGGUUGCUGGGCUGACACUGACGCUGAGGCGCGAAAGCUAGGGGAGCGAACGGG